Long non-coding RNA from Hemiscyllium ocellatum (epaulette shark), 529 nucleotides. RefSeq lists it as uncharacterized. The transcript is spliced from 2 exons. NCBI's taxonomy places the organism in Eukaryota, Metazoa, Chordata, Chondrichthyes, Orectolobiformes, Hemiscylliidae. The record is from RefSeq and is a predicted model, not a curated record.
ACUGAGCAAAGGCUAUGGCAAUGGAUGAAUGGGCACCACACCACAAUCAACAGACAGAAGUGUUGCCUCCCAGUUGGGACACUUCUGCGGUACAGGACAUUCGACCUCAGACCUUCGGGUGACCAUCCUCCAAGGCAGACUUCAGGACAGGCAACAGCGAAAAGUAGCCAAGCAGGGGCUGAUAGCUAAGUUAGAAUCGAUCUAAAAUCAUGGCAUAGACAGAGAACACAGGGCGCUAACACCUUCGACAUAUUGUGUAACUAACCCAAUUGUUACAGUUAACCUGAGAAUGCAACUUUAAAAAAAAGGUUUUUUGAUUUACACACGGAAGAAGGAAAACUAUCAUGGUAUUCGAACAGAUGAAAGACUCAACAAUCAAGGUAAUUUUCAAUGUGUAGUUUCAGUUACAUCAUACUGUAAUUUUUUGCUAUAAAUGCUGUGCCUUACAAUUUUGUCCCCCACAAUCACCUGAAGAAGGUGCGGUUCUCUGAAAGCUACUGUGCUUCCAAUUAAACCUGUUGGACUAUAA